ACGUAGGUGGCGAGCGUUGUCCGGAAUUACUGGGUGUAAAGGGUGCGUAGGCGGAUUUGCAAGUCAGACGUGAAAACUAUCGGCUUAACCGGUAGCCUGCGUUUGAAACUGUGAGUCUUGAGUGGUGAAGAGGUAAGCGGAAUUCCUAGUGUAGCGGUGAAAUGCGUAGAUAUGAGGAGGAACACCAGUGGCGAAGGCGGCUUACUAGGCACUAACGGACGCUGAGGCACGAAAGCAGGGGGAGCACACAG
RNAcentral lists this ribosomal RNA (251 nucleotides) under uncultured prokaryote. RNAcentral's name for it is "partial 16S rRNA". It matches the Rfam family "Bacterial small subunit ribosomal RNA", at positions 525 to 775 of the family's 1533-position model. The record is from RNAcentral.